This 2350-nucleotide long non-coding RNA is filed under the name Triticum aestivum (bread wheat). RNAcentral describes it as "long non-coding RNA (TAES_LNC000113)". Lineage: Eukaryota; Viridiplantae; Streptophyta; Magnoliopsida; Poales; Poaceae. The record is from RNAcentral.
UUUACAGAGGAGAAUGACAUGGAACAGUAAGUAUUUCAGUUUAAAUGUGCUCUUAUAGUGUUGAAAUUUAUUAAUUAGUUCCUUGGCGCGGAACACCUCUUAGAUCAUUGUAAUCAGACGGUUUAUAUACUAAUUUUCCGAGUAUUAGAUUCAAGCACUAACUCUGUUCAAAGUUCAGCUACAAUAAUCAAAUCUUCAAGGAUGGUACUGUCGUCUUGAUAAUUUUUCAGCAAAACUGUAUCCCACUACUCGGUGUAUUAUCAUUGGCUUUUGUCAUUACGAUCCCAUGUCUUCAUGAACCCUACACAUUGUAAUGCCUUCCAGAUUUCAAUCCAUACCGGUUACAUUACCAGGUCUAUUCUUAUCUAAUUUUUAUAGCUCGCUCGUCUUGCUGAGAUGGAGGUGAAGUGUCGAUUAAAGUUCUAGAAAUUGGCCUCCCACUGGGAGGAAUUGCAAAGUUGUUUGCUUAGGAUUUGCUCAUGAUUGUUGAUUAGAACGAACAUAAUUGUCCAUUGUCCUGCUCUCAUUAGGUAUGUCGUUUCAAUGAAAGUACAUCUGCAUCCUGUUCAUUUUCCAAUCCACUUUCAACAGACAGUUUGCAUUAUCUGCUCUGUUUUUGGAGCUGGAGCAAGGAAUUAAUUCUGUUUUAGCUCUCAUCUUUCCUUAUGCUGUGAAUCUGAAGUAUUUCUUGCUAUGUCACUUAUGAUUAAGAACCCUGUACAACUAGAUCUUGCACUGUCGCCCUUGGAUAUUGGGAAGUCUGAAGAAGCCUGUGGUUUAGGUAUGUUUUUGUAAUCAGAAUAUAUUUAUAUGCUUCUGCAAAUUAUAAAUCUUGUAUUCACAUUCACUGAUUGUACACUAGCACGCCCCGGUGCCUGAACUUGUUCAUUUUGUAGGGUUCUUGCGAAUCAUGCUGGUCGUUCAGCGCGUCUGGGCAUUGGAGUGGGCCAACUACCUGACGACAGGCAAGAUGGAGAUGCUCUCUGAGCAGCAGUUGCUGCGACCAUGAGGUGGGGCUCCCUUUCUUUGGUCGUUUUAUUAACCAUGAGGUGAUGUUAAUAAAAAUGAAAUCUGAUUUAGUGUUACCUGAAGAGAUCUUUAUUUGUGCUUUAUAAAGUCAGAUUAGUUUUGGUUUUUCACUUGUAUGCUUUGUAGGUCAGUAUACUGACGCAUGCUACUAUAAUCAUGUGGUGCAAAAAAGUGGUUUGUCUAUUUUUGUGCUUCGGCCUCCUUCCAAUUUCAGGUGGCCAACCAUUACUUGAUUAUGACAAGAAGUACCUAAUUUCAAUACCAAAGAUUAGUGAUUCAUGUCAAAAAUUUCAGGGUAGAACAAUGUGUCUUUAGGUUGUCCUCCCCUAAUUAAUUCAGUCAUAGUAACAUUGGUAUGCUAUUUCUUUUUGGCUGCUCACACAUCUUCAUAAUGUUGAGAAAUUGGAGCAUUGCAUGUGAUGGUAAGCAAUCAGUUCUGCAAUUCACUUUUAUCCAUGCAAUUACUUUUUUGAGUAUUACCGUGGAGAAUAUAUUCAGUACAUAACUAAAUUUUCAUAAAACAUUUGAACAUUCUCUUUUCAACAUGUGUAAUUUGUAUAUAUUAAUCGAGCUAUAGGUAAGCAUAGAAAAAAGUAGGUGCAUAUGUAGUAAAGAAACCGUGGGAAUAAAGUGCGGCACUUGCAUAACUUCGCAAGCUUGGAGAGAUAUAUAGUCAGAUCUUUAGUUAGCUUUAGUUCAUAAGUAAGAGAGUCCUACUUUCUUAGUCCACUAUGGUGCGUACAAUGUCAAGGAGCGUUAGAUUUGAAAUCACAUAUAUGUUUAUGAAUCGUUAUGAGUUCUGAAUGAUCAUUUUUACAUGGACAUAUGUCAAAGUUGAGUAAGAGCCAGCAACCUCAAGGAACAAUAACCAUUCAAGAUUAAUGCACAUUUGGUUUGCCGUGGCCUGGGCGUCAUAAAAAACGGCAAGGACGUCACUGAGGCUGCCUUGGAUGCUCUUGCCAACCAGUUGAAGGAGUAGCUGAAGCUGCAGGACAUUGUCGCGCUCCGAGAAAUCUUCAGGCUCGAUGACGAGCAGGCCGUGGCGAUCAAGCAGGGUGCCCUUGUCAACCUUGGAGUUGUUGAUGCUCUAGAUCAUGAAAGAGAGAGUAUUCAGGCCACUGAUGUGUAAGCUCCCUUCUGUUUAUACAUGACCUGUUGGGGAAGAUUAACUCUAAUGACAGCACAAUGCACUUGUUCUUGUUGUUGCUGGCCGUGAAUGCCUGUAGGGUGUUUUGGGCUAUUGUUUCCCCUUUUGAGUUUGCUCGGGGGGAAGAGCUUGCUAAACCACCUCUGUAAUGUGCAUUAUUAAUUUUAUGCUAGG